Hemicordylus capensis (graceful crag lizard) is the source of this 2917-nucleotide long non-coding RNA. RefSeq lists it as uncharacterized. The record is from RefSeq and is a predicted model, not a curated record. The transcript has 3 exons. NCBI's taxonomy places the organism in Eukaryota, Metazoa, Chordata, Lepidosauria, Squamata, Cordylidae.
UUAUCUGGCUGUAAACCGCCCAGAGACGUAAGUUUUGGGUGGUAUAAAAAAUGUUAAAUAAAUAAAUAAAUAAACAAACAAACCUCAGCUAGCAGCAGGACUAAAAAGCUGGGCUAAGCGACGCUGGGCUGCUGGGAUCGGGCCCAAUCCCAGCGGCUCUUAUGUGUAGCUUAAUUCAGACUGGGAGUCCCUAGCCUGGGUUAGGCUGCGCGUGAGAAUAGUCUCCUUGUCUGUGUUAUCUUUCCUCCCAUUUUAAUUUAAUGAUAGAGUUGCUACUUGCUAGGCUCCCAUUUUGACACAGACAAAGUCUCCAAAGAGCCACGGGAUAUUGUUAAAAUGAAGACAGAAAAUCCAGAAAGCAGAAGAGGGACAUUUUUAAUUUUAAUAUACAUUCUGGUCAAGGUAGCUCUUUCACUCAGCUUACAAAUGUGGGGGAAAUUCAGAUAUUACUCUGUGCAUCAUAUGUGGAAAUGCCCAUAAACACUAAAGCCUUUCUUUUUACAAAGUAAGCAUUUUGUGAAUGUGGCAAUGGUGUAACUCAAUGAGAUCUAGAAAUCUGCAUUCACAUAUCAUAUUUAGGUCAUUUGUACAGAAAUGUGCUUUACAAUCAACAAUCCCACUGUUUCCCGUCCAGGUGUUUGCUAUUCUGCUUCUAAGAAAGGAACUUGCUCACCGCCAUACAGAGGAAGUGAGACCUAAAAAAUCUGAUCAAGGUAGAAACUACGCAGAACCCAUGAUUUAACUAGGUCUUGUCUCUUCCAGUGAACAAGCUAUAAGGAUGGCAGGAAAGAUUCAGAGAACAAAAGCUGUGGAUUACCAGACCUCAUGGCUGAUAAAUCUUUGUACUAUUUCCGGGUAAACUGUACUAGUGUUUCUGUGUGACCCAGCUUCAGGGGUUCCUGGAUAAGUCCAAAUAACUAGAUGUUUCCCCAUCUAGCAUCAAGCCUUGAUUAAGUAUAGAAAUAGUGUUUGUCGCCUUGACUGAUUAUCAUUGCUGGGAACUGCAGUGGGACGGAGUUGCUGUUGGUUCUAAUGGACCUCUCGGCGGCAUUUGAUACCAUUAACCAUGGUAUCCUUAUGGGCUGUCUUGCAAGCAUGGGAAUCGGAGGCAUUGCUUUACAGUGAUUCGUCUAUCCUGAACAGUAGGUCCCAGAAAGUGAUGCUAGGGACUUCUGCUUAACACCAUAGCCUUCAGUAAGUAUACCGUGUCCCCCAAGGUUCAGUCUUGUCUCCUUUGCUAUUCAACAUCUACGUGAAGCAGCUGGGAGAGGUCAGUGGAUAACUGGGACUUUAUUUUAUCAGUAUGCUAAUGAUAAUCCAGCUCUUAACUCUCUUUCUCGUUAGAUUCCAGGGACAUGGUAGAUGUGCUGAAUCAGUGCCCGGAGGCAGUGAAAGUCUGGCCAAUAAACUGAUUCCUGACAAGUCACAGAUGCUAAUGGUCAAGAAGAAUCCUAAUCAGAAAGUAGGGCUGCAACCAAUGUUGGAUGUGGUUGCAUUCCAUCUGAAAACUCAGAUUUGAAGUCUUGGAGUGCUCCUGCACAUGGCUUGACUCUUUUGUACCCAGGUGUUAGCCAUAGCAGGGGGUGCCUUUGCCCAGCUAAGGCUGGUGCUCCUGCUGAUCCUUGAGAAAGCAGACUGGGCCAUGCUUUGGUCACCUGCAGCUCAGACUACUUUACAUGCCCUUGAAGAGCAUUCAGAAGCUCCAGCUAGAGCAGAACACAGCAGCCAGGUUAUUCAGUGGCACUGGCCCACAGUACCAUGUAACAUUGGUAUUGCUGCAACUACACAGACUCCUAAUUGCUUCACCAAUUAAAGGUGCUGGUUAUGACCUUUACAGCCCUAAACGACUUGGACCCAAAGUAACUGAAGGACCACCUCCCCCCCUGCCCCCAUAUUAGGCUUCCCAUUCUUUAUGGUCAUCUGGGGAGGCUCUCCUGUCUGUCCCACCUUUAUCAGAGGGGUGGCUACAUGGGAGAAAGUCUUCUCAUAUGAAGUGCUUAGGUUAUGGAACUCGCUCAUGAAAUCCAUCUUGCCCACUCUGUACCUUGCUCCUGUUAUCUAAAGAUGAAUCUGUUUAAAGUUGCUUUUAAUCUCUCUUAAUCCUGGCCCCUCUGUGUAUCUUUUAUUGUAUCUUUUAGCUGUUGCUGCAUUGCAUUAUCCAUAAGAGAUCAUUUUUAUCUGAAAGUUGUAAGCUGCCUUGAGCUUGCUGAAAAAAGUGGGGUAAAUAUUCUAACUAAAUAAAUGCAAUCUAUGUGAUAAAUACUUUUCUCCCAUCCGUAAAGUGGAGACUGGGGGAAGUAAGAGGAACAUGAUGUGGAAUGCAGUAACAAGAAUCCAGAUAUGACAAAACAGACAGAGAUUCUAGUAUCAGUUUUGUUUCUUAUGAAAGGCACAUUUAUCAGGAAUUAUUCCAAAAGCAGCAGUUCGAUAGUUGCACAAAUGGGUGCUGUCAUGAAACCAGCCUUUAUUCAGCCCAAAGGUUCUUUUAAAUCACAUUCCAGAAUUUUCCUUCAGUCUAAACUCCAUUUCCAGCCUUCUCUGCCUCAAGUAACAGCCUGCUGCCUACCCGAUAAUACAUGUGUGAUUCCCUGACUGUCAGAAACAACCAAAAGGAGAGCAUAGCUGUGAGGAACUCUUGGCUGAGUCCAGGUUGCAUAGCUCCAGAGAGCAUGCAGAGUCCACCAUGAUGCAAGAUUUUAAUUUCUGAACUUCAGCCUAACAAGAUCUUUUAGCCUCCUGCCUAGAAUCAGGCAGGAAGAAAAGGAGGACACUGAAGACGUACUUGUUUUCCCAGGCCUUCACCUGAGAUUCAAUUUUUAAAUUUUAAUGUGUUUUUAACAUGUUUUUAUCUAAUUUUGAUCUUAUGGAUUUUAAAUGUGUUAGAGUUUAUGUUUUAAUUCUGUACACCGCCUCAAAA